UCAACAGGUGUUUCGGAACAAUGGGCGUAAGCGCGUGUAGGCGGCUUGGUAAGUCGGGUGUGAAUCCCUUGGGCCCAACCCCGGAACUGCACUCGAAACUGCCUCGCUAGAGUCCCGGAGAGGAAGGCGGAAUUCCCGGUGGAGCGGUGAAAUGCGUAGAUAUCGGGAGGAACACCAUAGGCCAAGGCGGUUCUCUAAGCUAUUCCUGACACUGAGACACGAAAGCUAGGGGAGCAAACGGGAUUAGAUACCCCGGUAGUCCUAACCGUAAACGAUGGGCACUAAAUGUUUUCGCUUUAAGCGGGAGUGUCGAAGUUA
Molecule: ribosomal RNA, 318 nt
Filed under: uncultured bacterium
Lineage: Bacteria
Description: bacterial SSU rRNA
Rfam family: Bacterial small subunit ribosomal RNA
Source: RNAcentral